UAGGGAAUCUUCGGCAAUGGACGAAAGUCUGACCGAGCAACGCCGCGUGAGUGAAGAAGGUUCUCGGAUCGUAAAACUCUGUUGUUAGAGAAGAACAAGGACGUUAGUAACUGAACGUCCCCUGACGGUAUCUAACCAGAAAGCCACGGCUAACUACGUGCCAGCAGCCGCGGUAAUACGUAGGUGGCAAGCGUUGUCCGGAUUUAUUGGGCGUAAAGCGAGCGCAGGCGGUUUCUUAAGUCUGAUGUGAAAGCCCCCGGCUCAACCGGGGAGGGUCAUUGGAAACUGGGAUACUUGAGUGCAGAAGAGGAGAGUGGAAUUCCACGUGUAGCGGUGAAAUGCGUAGCUAUAUGGAGGAACACCAGUGGCGCAGGCGGCUCACUGGUCUGUAACUGACGCUGAGGCUCGAAAGCGUGGGGAGCAAACAGG
RNAcentral lists this ribosomal RNA (429 nucleotides) under Gemmatimonadota bacterium. Its description in RNAcentral is "Gemmatimonadetes bacterium partial 16S ribosomal RNA". It matches the Rfam family "Bacterial small subunit ribosomal RNA", at positions 355 to 776 of the family's 1533-position model. Lineage: Bacteria; Pseudomonadati; Gemmatimonadota. The record is from RNAcentral.